Unclassified non-coding RNA from Macaca fascicularis (crab-eating macaque), 148 nucleotides. It matches the Rfam family "Metazoan signal recognition particle RNA". Rfam says of the family: The signal recognition particle (SRP) is a universally conserved ribonucleoprotein. It is involved in the co-translational targeting of proteins to membranes. The record is from Ensembl. NCBI's taxonomy places the organism in Eukaryota, Metazoa, Chordata, Mammalia, Primates, Cercopithecidae.
GCUGGGCAUGGUGGCGCAUGCCUGUAGUCCCAGCUACUUGGGAGGCUGAGGCAAGAGAAUCACUUGAACCCAGGAGGCAGAGGUUGCAGUAAGCCAAGAAUGCGCCACUGCACUCCAGCCUGGGUGACAGGGUAAGAUCCUGUCUCAA